CAAUAGCGUAUAUUAAAGUUGUUGCAGUUAAAAAGCUCGUAGUUGGAUUUCUGGUUGAAGCGACCGGUCGGGCGUUGAUUCGUCUGCACUGGAGUCGGUUUUGGCCAUCCUCUAGGAAAGUGCGUCUGGUAUUAAGUUAUCGGGCGUAUGAUCCUGGUCUUUUACUGUGAAAAAAUUAGAGUGUUUAAAGCAGGCCUUCGCCUUGAAUACAUUAGCAUGGAAUAAUAAGAUAGGACUUUGGUCUAUUUUGUUGGUUUGCAGACCGAAGUAAUGAUUAAUAGGGAUAGUUGGGGGUAUUUAUAUUCCGAUGUCAGAGGUGAAAUUCUUAGAUUUUCGGAAGAUAAACUUAUGCGAAAGCAUUUACCAAGGAUGGUUNCAUUA
Molecule: ribosomal RNA, 381 nt
Filed under: uncultured eukaryote
Lineage: Eukaryota
Description: partial 18S ribosomal RNA
Rfam family: Eukaryotic small subunit ribosomal RNA
Source: RNAcentral